This is a long non-coding RNA of Perca flavescens (yellow perch), 1749 nucleotides long. RefSeq lists it as uncharacterized. NCBI's taxonomy places the organism in Eukaryota, Metazoa, Chordata, Actinopteri, Perciformes, Percidae. The record is from RefSeq and is a predicted model, not a curated record. The transcript has 4 exons.
CAAAUGAGAGCAUAUGGGGAAUGCUGUUAAACUGUGUUGUGUCUAUGAUAACGUUCGCUAACACUUGGUCCUGCGGAAUAAUAACCUAGCUAACGUUACAGUAAAGCUGUAGCUAUGCAAAACAGCGACGCAGAACGGGUUGACUAACGUUACAGAUUUCCUUUUUCCUCAUUAAUGUUAAAGCUCUAGCUAAUAACAUUAGUUGUUAACAUAGACAGUGGUUGUUAACAUGCCGUAUGAGCUAGCUAAACAUUUGUCAGCCGAGCUAACACGAUAACAUAAAUCCCUACUUCAUGUUUACGUUAUUCAGUAGCGACUGUACGUACCAUGGGGUACGUGACGUUACACAGUAUGGCUGUGUGUCCUCCCCCCCUAAAAGUCUCCUUAAACGAACCACAAAAUUGACAAUUUUCAGGACAAAGCGACGUAAUUAUAUUUCACUUACAAAAUUCCGCAAUGUAAAAAGAGGCAACAUAAUUUUCCUCGCACCAGUCCAGCGUUGAGGUCGGCCGCCCCCAGUAUCCCUGCCUGUCUGCCGAGGGAGCCAUGAUGGAAGAGCAGGAGGCUGUUGGUACUAACGGAUUUGUAGUCCCAUCACAGCACGAGCAGUCCUCGCACGAGUCGAGCCCUCCUCCUUACGAGCGAUGGGAAGACAACAAAGUCCAUUCCCCAUUCCAAGGCAGAGGCGUGGAACACACUGGCCAGGUAGAGACCCUUCUUCCCGGAGAUCUUGGACAAGUCAGCUUUGGAUUUGUCCACAGCCUCUGUCAGGCCCAACUUCCCAAAGCUUUUCUAAAUAGGAGCAGAACAUUAAGGUUGUGACUGACUUCCAUGCUGACUUUGGGCAGAGACACGGCUAUUGCUGUCUGUUGCAGCUUGCCCAUCCACGUAUCCAGCUGCUUCUUGGUCAGCAUCUUCUCCACUCUGUCCAGAGGUUCCGUAUGGGCAUCAGGUCACAUGAUGUUAGCCGCACAGCCCCAUCACCAGCAGAACCAACAGUAAACUGCAGGAGACAACGUGAUGUUCUUUGAAACCAUAGCAGUCCAUCUGACAAUCACACAAAUGAAAUAUGACCUCGAGCUACAUGUCUGAUACCUCAGCGUUACAUAACAAAAAAGUGCUAAUGUGUCAGUGAAGCGGUUCGGCCGGAUUGUGGUAAGCAACCUUCUGACACAAAUGUGGUGAACUUGGCAGCAACAGUAUGUUUACAGGAUCUGGUGUGGGGGGGUUUUCUGCCUGAAUCUUCCUGGUAACUGUAUCAGCACCCUUAUUGUCUUAUGCCUGUGGGAGUUUGACUCAGGCUCUCCAUAACAACAGGGAGCUCCAAAGGCAAACUCACUAGUUCAGUAACUUUUGCAGCUAUAUUCAGUAGUAUAGAAACCUUUUACUUAUUACUUUUAAAUAUGUAUGCAUAUGGAUUCUUGACAAAGGGAAUAUGGGAACUCCCUUUGUGAAGAGAGUAUGGGAACUGAAUUCUCUGGUUGCAUAUUUUCCCAUGAAUGCUUCCUUCUCUUCUUCCUGGUGGUAUGUGCAUCCCCCCCCUGCUCGGGGAGUGGUGUUUAGAUGUGAUCAGGCAGCAGGAAGUUACAGAAGAAGCGGAUGCAUGUCCGCUUUAACACUGCCUCUGUUACAGUAAAUCAAGUUAAAUUUAUUUAUACAUGUAUAGCCCAACAUCACAGAUCACAAAUUUGCCUCAAGGUCCUUUAGAAUUUGUACAACAUGCAACACUCUCUAUCCCUAGUCCCUCAA